This 497-nucleotide ribosomal RNA is filed under the name uncultured bacterium. RNAcentral's name for it is "partial 16S ribosomal RNA". It matches the Rfam family "Bacterial small subunit ribosomal RNA", at positions 28 to 507 of the family's 1533-position model. The record is from RNAcentral.
GAUGAACGCUGGCGGCGUGCCCAAUACAUGCAAGUCGAGCGAACAGACGAGGAGCUUGCUCCUCUGACGUUAGCGGCGGACGGGUGAGUAACACGUGGAUAACCUACCUAUAAGACUGGGAUAACUUCGGGAAACCGGAGCUAAUACCGGAUAAUAUAUUGAACCGCAUGGUUCAAUAGUGAAAGACGGUUUUGCUGUCACUUAUAGAUGGCUCCGCGCCGCAUUAGCUAGUUGGUAAGGUAACGGCUUACCAAGGCAACGAUGCGUAGCCGACAUGAGAGGGUGAUCGGCCACACUGGAACUGAGACACGGUCCAAACUACUACGGGAGGCAGCAGUAGGGAAUCUUCCGCAAUGGGCGAAAGCCUGACGGAGCAACGCCGCGUGAGUGAUGAAGGUCUUCGGAUCGUAACACUCUGUUAGUAGGGAAGAACAAAUGUGUAAGUAACUAUGCACGUCUUGACGGUACCUAAUCAGAAAGCCACGGCUAACUACGUG